CAACAAGAUAUAAUUUGAGGAUCCAUUUCACUGGGACAAGGAUGCAGGAGAGGUUUCUACCAGUGAAAGAUCAUGUAUUUGGAAGACAUUAUAUAUUAUUUUUGACCUUCCCUUACAUUGUUGCUGAAGAACCUAUUUAAGUGUUGUUUCUUCGUUGUGAAUUCUUGACCCUGUUAAAUGGUUGUUUAUUGUUAGUAUCUUUGGGUUGGUGACGAUUUUUUCGAGACAUGUUUGGAAUUUAGCCUCUCAGUUAUGGUUUUGAAAAUCUUUUUGGAUUUUAGGCUGGGUUGUAUAGAAGAAGCCUAGAUAUUUAACAUCCAUUUGAAACAGAAACAGCAAUUCUAAAGAGACUUUCUUGGAUAUUCGAGAGUUUUCAAUUUGUUUUGGAUUUUAAAUGUUGAUCAGCUGAAUGUCCAGUUGAUCCAUAUACAUGUAUUAAAAUUCGUACUGUAAAACUUUCAAGUCACUGGCUACCUCUGCCUGUUAGUGCAGCUUGUUUGUUGGCUGCCAUUGACAUCUCUCUUUUCCCGAUGAUUAUCAGCCUUGCCUACAAUUUAAGAUUUUUU
RNAcentral lists this unclassified non-coding RNA (566 nucleotides) under Hevea brasiliensis (rubber tree). The record is from RNAcentral. Lineage: Eukaryota; Viridiplantae; Streptophyta; Magnoliopsida; Malpighiales; Euphorbiaceae.